Molecule: ribosomal RNA, 460 nt
Filed under: uncultured bacterium
Lineage: Bacteria
Description: bacterial SSU rRNA
Rfam family: Bacterial small subunit ribosomal RNA
Source: RNAcentral
GUAGUCACGAGUUUGAUCCUGGCUCAGAACGAACGCUGGCGGCAUGCCUAACACAUGCAAGUCGAACGAGACCUUCGGGUCUAGUGGCGCACGGGUGCGUAACGCGUGGGAACCUGCCUUUAGGUUCGGAAUAACUCAGAGAAAUUUGAGCUAAUACCGGAUGAUGUCUUCGGACCAAAGAUUUAUCGCCUUUAGAUGGGCCCGCGUAAGAUUAGCUAGUUGGUGGGGUAAAGGCCUACCAAGGCGACGAUCCUUAGCUGGUCUGAGAGGAUGAUCAGCCACAUUGGGACUGAGACACGGCCCAAACUCCUACGGGAGGCAGCAGUGGGGAAUAUUGGACAAUGGGCGCAAGCCUGAUCCAGCCAUGCCGCGUGAGUGAUGAAGGCCCUAGGGUUGUAAAGCUCUUUCACCGGUGAAGAUAAUGACGGUAACCGGAGAAGAAGCCCCGGCUAACUUCGUG